UGUUUGGACUUAUGGAAGAAAGUGAAUCUCUUUUAUUUACAAAAAGCUUCCGAACCCAUUCCACUGCAAUUUGGCAAGCUUAAUCCACUCUGAAGGGACUCAUAAAUGUCAUUCACUUUGUCAAAAGGGGAGAAGAGUUACAGCUGUUUUUAGAUUUCCCAUUAUAGUGAAAGGGGAACCACAGAGCUUCAUUUGAUACAACUCAGAACCCAAAUUAAAGAUUGAAGCGGGGAAAAGUAGUGUGUCUGAAAACAGAUCAGUAAUUUUAAAAUGCACAAACUCAGCUACAAGACAAAUCUUGGAGCCUGCGCACACCCCUAAAACAUACAGAAUGGAUUAAGAGUGGAUUUAAGGCUUCCAUCUUGCCAUUGAGUUAUGAAUCCCUCUGGGGCAUCAGGCCAGGUCAGAGGGAAGGGAAGAGCAGUCGGGAGGCAGGUCAAUUUUUACAGGGGAACUUGGGUGUGGAAAUAUUGCAGGGCUGUAUAUAUAAAACCAGAAGAGACUCCCUAAGGAUGUCUGAGCCUGGGCGACAACAGACGUGGAGGAAGAAAGGAGCAGAAAGGAGACGCCAAUAUGAAGACUUCCUUUGCCUUCCUGCUACUUCUGCUAGGUUCAGCUUCGACUUUUUGGCUGCAUGAAACAAAAGUAACAAUAAAAGAAACAAAAGAAACCAAC
Molecule: non-coding RNA, 675 nt
Organism: Podarcis muralis (Common wall lizard)
Lineage: Eukaryota; Metazoa; Chordata; Lepidosauria; Squamata; Lacertidae
Source: RefSeq, a predicted model, not a curated record